Molecule: ribosomal RNA, 253 nt
Filed under: uncultured bacterium
Lineage: Bacteria
Description: partial 16S ribosomal RNA
Rfam family: Bacterial small subunit ribosomal RNA
Source: RNAcentral
UACAGAGGUGGCGAGCGUUGUUCGGAAUUACUGGGCGUAAAGGGCGCGUAGGCGGCCUUCUAAGUCGGACGUGAAAGCCCCAGGCUUAACCUGGGAACUGCGUCCGAUACUGGGAGGCUUGGAUUCGGGAGAGGGAUGUGGAAUUCCAGGUGUAGCGGUGAAAUGCGUAGAUAUCUGGAGGAACACCGGUGGCGAAGGCGGCAUCCUGGACCGAGAUCGACGCUGAGGCGCGAAAGCUAGGGGAGCAAACGGG